Sander lucioperca (pikeperch) is the source of this 768-nucleotide long non-coding RNA. RefSeq lists it as uncharacterized. Lineage: Eukaryota; Metazoa; Chordata; Actinopteri; Perciformes; Percidae. The record is from RefSeq and is a predicted model, not a curated record. The transcript has 2 exons.
CGCUUGAAAAUGAAAAUGUUAGUGUAGAUGUAGCCUAAGUGAGUGUAGAGCAUCUUCUGGAAAGACGUGCUCCAUACUCAUUGUGGAGGAUGCAGAGGGCUCAGAUGACUGACAUCACGCAGGAAGUGUCUGACACAUGGUCUGAUGUUCUGUCCAUCGGGCCAGUCUGUCAGGCUGGACGGUUGUCACACCGUGCACACCUCCCAAAGGGAUCGUGGUGUGUUGUGCGUCUGUGUGAAAAUGAAUGUCAUCUGUUUGAGCAGGGUGCUGGAACAGCUGCUAUGGUCCAUGUGUACACUCAGCACAGUGAGCACACAGCUGCUAGCUGGCUAACUUGUGGAGCAUUCAGGAGCUAAAGAGCCAGGCCUGUUCCUCAAUAAAAAGCACACCGAGGCUAAAAGGAGAGUGGGUACUGGAUUUAUUGUUGUCUGUUGGACACAAACAUGGAUUGCUGCAGCUCUGGGUCCUGCUCAGCCUAAAUGACAUUCAAAUGAGGACAUUGUGAAAAUAUUUAAUUUACUGAUUUGUAAAUCCCUCAAGCGUGUGCCCCAUGCACAGAGAAACUGCUUUCAAUGAUGAGUAUCAAUGUUCCUGUACAAUGCAUCCAGUAUGUGUGCUAUACAUCAGUACAUUCUGCACUCCUCUUCUGCUGUCUAUAUUGUUAGCUUUACUACAAUAUACCAUGAGUAAAUAUUACAAGCAAUGAGCAAAAACAUGCAUUUUUGGAAUAAUAAGUAAAGAAAUACAAUGAAAAUGCCGCUGUGGAGA